RNAcentral lists this unclassified non-coding RNA (520 nucleotides) under uncultured Glomus. RNAcentral describes it as "SSU rRNA". It matches the Rfam family "Eukaryotic small subunit ribosomal RNA", at positions 569 to 1092 of the family's 1831-position model. Lineage: Eukaryota; Fungi; Glomeromycota; Glomeromycetes; Glomerales; Glomeraceae. The record is from RNAcentral.
AGCAGCCGCGGUAAUUCCAGCUCCAGUAGCGUAUAUUAAAGUUGCUGCAGUUAAAAAGCUCGUAGUUGAAUUUCGGGAUCAAUAUGUUGGUCGUGCCUCGGUACGUACUAGCUUAUUGGUUUCUCCCUUCUGACGAACCAUGAUGUCAUUUAUUUGGUGUUAUGGGAAAUCAGGACUGUUACUUUGAAAAAAUUAGAGUGUUUAAAGCAGGCUCACGCUUGAAUACAUUAGCAUGGAAUAAUGAAAUAGGACGUUUGAUUCUAUUUUGUUGGUUUCUAGGAUCGACGUAAUGAUUAAUAGGGAUAGUUGGGGGCAUUAGUAUUCAAUUGUCAGAGGUGAAAUUCUUGGAUUUAUUGAAGACUAACUACUGCGAAAGCAUUUGCCAAGGAUGUUUUCAUUAAUCAAGAACGAAAGUUAGGGGAUCGAAGACGAUCAGAUACCGUCGUAGUCUUAACCAUAAACUAUGCCGACUAGGGAUCGGAUGAUGUUAAUUUUUUAAUGACUCAUUCGGCGCCUUACG